UCAGUACUGGAUCACCAGGCUUGGGAGAG
Molecule: non-coding RNA, 29 nt
Filed under: Homo sapiens (human)
Lineage: Eukaryota; Metazoa; Chordata; Mammalia; Primates; Hominidae
Source: RNAcentral